This 28767-nucleotide long non-coding RNA is filed under the name Vitis vinifera (wine grape). RNAcentral describes it as "long non-coding RNA (VVIN_LNC002975)". The record is from RNAcentral. Lineage: Eukaryota; Viridiplantae; Streptophyta; Magnoliopsida; Vitales; Vitaceae.
CCUAAAGUUAGAAUUCCUAUCUUAUUUUGGUAAGAUAGAUGACUUCUUCUCUCAAUUUACAAGGCCUUGAUGCACUCUACAACUAAGGCAAAUGGCUUCCUGAGUUCCAAAUUGCUAAGUUAAUUCACUGAUGCAAGAAAAACUUCUCCUUAUACCAACAGGUUAACAUAGGGUGUUAAUCCCUUCCAAUUUUAUUUCCAUGCAUUGAAAAGAAAAAAAAAAUCAACUUUGUUCUACCCUAUGGGUUUGGUGUAACUCUGUAAGGUAGUUGGAUGCAUAGCAUGCUAGUAUCAUAGAUACACCUAGCAAUUUCUUGUAUCCUUUUUCUUGGUCAUCACCUUGCUAAUUUAUGUAGAAGUGGUCAAAUGGCCACAAACUAAAAUUACCUUUCUCUCUCUCUCUCUCUCAUGCACAUAAAUACACAUCAUUUUUUGCUCAGUCUUUGUGAACUAUAGUUCCCUCAUUAUUAGAAUUCUGUUAAUUCCUCAUAUUAGUUUGAAAUUUUAUUUUUUUGAUUUAUUUAUUUAUUUAUUUUUAUCUUUGUAUUGGAAGAUGUAAGAUAUGUUGGAUAUUUAUAUUUUUGUAACUUCAAUAGUUCUUUUUUUUUUUCUGCAGCAAGAAGAAAGCUUAAGCUUAAGGUUCAUGUUGUAUAUAUAUGCUUUACAUAGUUUGAUUGUACACCAAGUGUUUGUUUGCUUCGGUUUGUAGUCUAUGAUAUAGGUUUCAUACUUAGUCGCCUACCAUUUAUUUAUUUUUAUUGCAAUUGUCAUAAUUACCAUAUAUUCUUUUUGUUUUCUGCUUUGUAAAUUGAUUUUUGAGAUUGACAUCUCAUUUUAAAAUGUACUUUUAUAAUAUGCUGUGUUUAUUACAUAUUCAGACUGAGGUCAAUGGUGUGUUCCUUUUUUCUGCAAUGUGCUCUCUUUAAAGUUAGUGAAUUUGUUGCAGUCUGAACAUAAUUUAACCCAUAGGACAUGUAUUGCAGAAAACACCUACAUUCCACAGUUUAUUGAAAUGAUAGAAAAACAUUACCUGUGCAGAGCACUUCAAGAGGUCACUGUAGCUACAAUUUUGAGCUGAUAACAUCAAACGUGCAGCCCUUAAAUGCAGCUUCUUUGUUGCCUGGUGAAUUUUGCUCAUAUAUACUGCUUUGCGUUUACCUUCUAUGCGUGCCAUGGUUACUAUCACAAUAUCCAAUAGCAACAUGCCAUGUUCUCACUUUUCAACCUUCCUUCAUGGUUUUGAUCUACUACUUCACUAUGAUUAAGUUUACCACAAAUCUGACAAGUUAUGUUACCUGAAGAAUUUGAAUUGCUACUGCUCUUAUGAUUUUAAUCAGCUUGCUUCCCAAAAUUAAUUCUAUGAAUCUUGAUUAUAACACAGGUAGUUGCCAUUUCGCUAAUUUGAAGCUACCCAUUGAUCAUUUUGACUAGGAUUAUUGUUGAGAAAUAAAGGUUGUUGGAUAUUGGCUCAAAACAAUGAUCAAUUAGUCAAUCGAUGAUGAAGUCAAUUGCAAUGUUGAUGUAUAUAACUUGACAUGUAAAAGAGAAAUAAAAAAUAAAAAAAUUGUACAAUUACAGUUCAAUGGCAAGAAAUGAUAUGGUCCUUCAAUGGAUGUGGGGGACUUUUCAGAUCACAUUAAUUGUUUAUCCCUUGUGUGUUUGUUGUGGUGCUUCUAUUAGUCUCAAUCCUUCUUAAGAUUGGUGCUAGUAUUUUUUGAGUUGUUACUGCUCUAUUCAUUCUAAGGCUAAAAUAUUCUCUCUAAACUUCAAAUUUUUCUUCACAGAUUUGAUGAAUUGCUUUCCAAAUCAAGAUUAUUGUAAGCUUACACAAAGUACAACAUAAAAUUACAUACAAUAUUUAAUUCAUUGUAAGUUCACACAAAGCAUACAUACAAUCAUUGUAGCUGCAUGCCUUAAGUUUUAGCUACGAUUUACUCUCCUCUUCGGCCACACCAAUUUGCCCACAAUUUUGUUUACAAAACCAAAAUAGACUUCAUAGCAAGAUUUGCUAAAUGUACAAAUGAAAAAGGGAACUAAAACACCAACUGCAAACCCCAACCCAACACUCAAGUAAAACCACUGAUCAAUGAAGUUAUUGUCAGUUUCAUCCUCAACAUCACUUUGCCCUUUAUCUAAACCUUCAUCUUGGCAUUUAGCAACAAGUGGAGCUCCACAAAGAUUUGGAUUUCCAGUGAAGGCCGUCCCUGUAAAGGUUGUCAUUUGCCCCAUGAAGGGGAUCUUACCAGAGAAAUUAUUAUUUGAUAAAUUCAAAUAACUCAAAAAUGUUAAUGAGGAUAUGCUUGGAGGGAUAGUGCCAGAGAGCUUAUUACUUGACAGAUCAAAAGAUAACAAUUGAUGCAACCUCCAAAUGCUUCCUGGAAUCUGCCCGCUAAUGUGGUUUUUCGACAAGUUCAAAACCACUAAACCAAACAAGUUUGUUAUUUCCUUCGGAAAGUCUCCACUUAAAUUAUUGUGGGAGAGGUCUAUGCUGACAACCAGAGAAAGAGUCUUGGUGUAUUCUAGAACUUGCCCUUUUGCAUUUACAAACAAGCUUUCUUCAUAGUAGUGGACUGAAGAAAUCCCAUACAAUAGAUACUGAUUUUUGUUUUGCUCUUCAGCCAUGGCUUUAAGAUCACCCAAAAUAGCAGGAAUGGUUCCAGUCAAAUGAUUUUCCGCAAGGUCCAGCACAUGCAGUGAAUCUAAUUUGGAGACAUCAGACGGAAGUUCCCCGGAAAAAGCAUUGGACCUCAAGUUAAGAAUUCUAAGAUGGCUGAAAGCAGCUCCCAUCCAUGAUGGAAUGCUACCUGAUAAUUUGUUGUAACUGAGAUCAAGGGUUUCCAGAUUUGAUAAAUGUUGGAAAGAUGGAGGAAGCUCUCCAGAAAGCUUAUUCUUGUUUAGGUGAAGAGACCGAAGCUGCUUUAAUUUACCCAAUGAUACUGGAAUCAUUCCAGACAAACCAUUGUUCCCAAGGUCAAGAAUCCUUAGGUUAGAGCAAUUAUUUAUGGUCGAAGGGAUGCUUCCUACCAAUCCAUUCCUUGAAAGAUCAAUGACCUCAACAUUCCACAAUUGUCCCACAGAAGCAGGGAUGGUUCCUUUUAUUUCAUUAUCUGAAAGAGAAAGGAACCACAGUUCUGGCAUGAAUUCACCUAUGCGUUGUGGGAUAGGACCAGAAAAUUUAUUGUCAGAUAGAUCUAGUAAGUAAGCCCCACGGUUUGGAAGAGGAAUGGGUCCUUGAAAGAGGUUGGAACUGAAAUCAAUAGACGCAAAGGGGCCAAGAUUCAGUGGAUUUGGUAACUGACCUUGUAAAUGAUUGAGAGACAGAUUUACCCACCCUAUGUUAGAAGAAAUAUUCCAAAACCAGUUUGGUAUGGAACUUGAAAUGCUGGCAUUUGAGAGAACAAGAUACUCAACUUCCUUUUGUGACUUGAGCCAAGGUGGAAAUGAAGGACCUAAAUGACAUGAACCCAUCUCAAGAAAGUGGAUUUGGAAUGGAGGAACCCAAUGGGAACUGACAUUCAAAGUAAAAGAAUUGGAGGACAAUAAUAAAUAUUUCAGCUUACUUAGCUUGGAAAAAUUUUCUUCAGAGAGAAUUCCAAUCAAAUUGUUGAAGGAAACAUCCAGGUAAACCAAUUCAGAAAGCUGUCCGAAACUGUCUGGAAGAGUCCCUUUCAGUCUGUUGGUUCCAAGCCACAUAUUGGUCAAGUGUUGCAAUGUCCCUAAAGAAGCAGGGAUGCGACCUUGAAGAUUGUUAUCAUCCAUUCUGAGUUCCACAAGCUCUUCAAGCUCACCCAACCAUUCCGGCAGUUUUCCAGUUAACUGAUUGCUUGACAAACUUAAAUGGGUGAGGUUGGGCAAAGGACUUUCAGAACUGCAAUUUUCAGGCACCUCAAGGAAUGUUGGUAGACUUCCUGUCAAGUUAUUAAACCCCAAGUUCAAAUAUUUUAAGUUGCAAAGAAUUCCGAUUGAGCUUGGAAUUGUACCUGUAUAAGUUUAAAAACACAUUAAGCAAUAGCUUAAUUAGCUAAUAGUAACAAUAAUGAUACUAAAUAAUAAGAAACUAAAUUCAUAGACAACUGAAUUAAAGAGAAGAUACAAUUUUGUACUUAUUGUAAAGUAUUAAUCAAAUUACACAUACAUGUGAGUAGAAAAUAAAGAAAAAAGACAAGAUUUUGAACGUGAUUCGAGGAUCAAUGUGAUCUUUACGUCCAUGGAGUGCAUCAACACUCAAGAAUUCACUAAUCAAAAGGAAUGUGAAGGGUCAUAAUGGUAAAAUUCUUGAAAAAACCCGCUUAAUUGCAAUGGCAUUCUCUGAAAACAAAACCCUAAAAUAUCAAUAGGUUAAAUAUAUAAUAAAGAUAAACUCGUUAUUCACCACAUAAAAAAAAAAAAAAAAUUCUCUAGAGACACUACCCCCUUCAACCCCUACAAGUUCAAUGGAGAGUUCAACCUCCAAUAUCCCGAGCAAAAUGCAACAAAAUUGACCUAGGCUUCACAAUCCAAUAUAAAGCACCAUUGCAGUAAAGUUGUUUCAAUAGUCAGUUAAUUUAUCCAUAUAAACAAGUUCCUUUUUAUGGUAACCUCAACAUUAUUCAUCUGAUAUCAAAAUGAUGAGUUAAUAUAAAUAUUUGUAGGCAAGAGGGGGAAUUUACCAUGUAAGUUAUUUGAAGCCAAAAUGAGCACCUCUAUCCUUCUCCAGCUUCCCUUCAACAACUGGGCGCAACUGCCUUCCAGAUUUUUAUUACCAGAGAGAUCCAAGUACUGCAAAUUAGGUAGCUCACUGAGAUCCAGCGGAACCCUCCCCCAUAACUCACAGUUGCUUAUGUCUAUGGAUACAAGGCUGCUGACAUUCACAAGCCAUUCAGGAAACUUCGAAUUGAAGGCGUUCUGACUGAUAGAUAGAAUAGCAAGUGAACUAAAAUUGGAAGAACCUAGGGAUGAAAUUGAACCAGAGAGGUUACACCCAAGAAGAUGCAGAUCAGUUAAAAUUGGAAGCUUACUUAACACCCCAGCCCAAUGAGGCCCCACCAUUGAAAGGUUGGCAUGGUUCAUGUUAAGAUUCUUCAAGGAAACAAGACCAGCCAUCCAGUCAAGAUUAUCAGACCAUAAAUAAGAAAAUUCGGAAGAAAGAUCAAGAGACUGCAAGUUAGAGAGGUUUCCUAAAUUUGGAGGAAUUGCACCACUAAACCCAGAAUUUGAUAGGUUUAGAUAUUGUAAAUUUUUUAACGAUCCAAAGAAUUGAGGAAUUGAGAUGUCAUCAAAUGAGUUGCCACUCAAAUCUAAAUACCUCAAGAACUUGAGUUUCUUCAAUGAGGGUCUAAUCUCUCCACUCAAUUUCGUAGAACUCCAAUUCUGAUAAUCACUAAAACUAUCAUAUGAGUUAUGAAGAUCUAUUGAAACCACAACUCCUGUGCUAUUUUUACAAUUAAUUCCUUCCCAGUGACAACAGUUACUACCUUUCCACGAUGAAAACCGAUUCUUGGAGUAUUUGAGACCAUUUUUGAAGUCAACAAGAGCUUCUCGAUCGGACUCUAAGCAAUUUCCCGAAUGGACAUCGCCAUUACAAGCAAAUUCUGUGGUCAUCAGAGAAAGGGUGGCCAAAAUGAAACCAAGAACCAAAAUUCUCUCCAUUUGAUAUUCAAUUCUGAAGCUGCAAACAGAUUAAAAAAAAAAACUAAUUAUCAUACAUAAGUACUGUUUUCUUCAUAUGAAGUAAAGUAUUAAAUCUUCUGACACAUUUAAAUAACAGAUUUAACAAGGAUUCUCAAUAUAAUAAGCUUACAAAAAGGCAGUAAUAAAUAGAAGCACUGCAGAGAAUUAAACAGAAGUAUAAUCCAGAAGUACAACUUACCCGGUUAAAGAAGCGAUGCAAAGGAGAUAACUGAAAGAUCCAACCAUGUGAGCAUUAAUAAAAGGGGCUCCAGCUAUCCCUUAAUUUUCUUAGUCUUUGUUUCAUAUUAUUUGUCAAAACUCCUUAAUGUGAGCAUUAAUAAAAUGACUCGAGAUGCUUUUCUUGACUUAAACAUCAAUUUCAGGUGGACUAAAACAUUGAGGGGUAUAGAAAAAAUUUCUAGUGACUGAAUAACAUUUUCCAUGAUCACACCCUUUAAAAUUUUCCCUGCCCCAUACGUUAUUUCCACGAGGACUUGUGUUAUUCUAGAACAUUAUUUCAAGUUCUAUUUUUAAUUUCACUAUAUAUCUUCAUAGUAUACUUUUAUGCUAUGUUUGGUCCCAAAAAAAAAAUUGAGAGAAAAUGUGAAGGAAAUAAAAUAGAAAUGAAAUUAAAACGGAAGGAGAGAAAAAAAGAAAGAAAAAAAAUUAAAUUUAAAGUCUAUAAAUUAUUUUUAUGGUUAUGUUUGAUUCUUAAAAAGUUUGAGAAAAAAUGUAAUAGAAAAAAUAGAAUGAAUAAAAAAAUGAAAGAAAAUAAAAAAUAGAUUUCAAGUUAAUAAAUUAUUUUUAUAUCUUACUUUAAACUCAUUUUACUUAUUUAACUCUUCUUUAUAAAAAUUAAAUGAUUUAAUUAUAUAUAUAAAAGUUUCUUACUAAUUUUAAUUUUUUUUUAUUUUUAUUUUCAAUAGUAAAACCAAACAUGAGAAAAUUAUUUUUCUUAAUAUUUUAUUUCUUUCCUUAAUAUUUUUUUAAAACCAAACACAAUCUAUAUAUUUCUUCAAAUUCAUUUAUCUUAUUUUUCUUUGAUUAUAUAAAAAUUAAAUAAUUUUAAAAUGCAUAAGUUUUUAAUUAAUUUUAAUUAUAUUUGAAUUUUUUUUUAUAUUUUUCAUAGUGAUACCGAAUAAGAGAAAAUCAUUUUAUUUAACAUUUUUUUUCUUUUUCCUGAGUACUUUUUAAGAACCAGAGACUUAAGGAAUGUUUCAAAAUAAUUUAAUUAGUGAAUUCCUUUGCAAUUGAAAGUCUAUGUAUUCAUUUUAUUUAACAUUUUUUUUUCUCUUUCCUUAGUAAUUUUUAAGAACCAAACUUAAUAUAAUUGAAAUUACCUGGUUAAAGAGGAUAACUGAAAGAUCUAACCAUUUGAGCAUUAAUAAAAGGGGCUCCAGUUAUUCCUUAAUUUUCUUAGUCUUUGUUUCAUAUUAUUUGUCAAAACUCCUUAACUCUUACUCCACGGAAAAUGACUCGAUAUUUGUCAAAACAUCAAUUUCAGGUGGACUAAAACAUUGAGGGGUAUAGAAAAAAUUUCUAGUGACUAAAUAAUAUUUGCCCAACGAAAAGAAGGUAAAGAAAUUUGUGUUGAGCUUUUUUUUCAAAUACAUGUGAUAUGUUUUAAGAUUAUGUUUGAUUUUUAAAAAAGUAUUAAGAAAAGAAAAAAAAAUGUAAGGAAAAAUGGUUUUUUUUUAUAUAUAUUUGGUUUCAUUGUGAAAAAUAUUACAGAAAAUCAAAUAUAAUUGAAAUUAGUUAAAAAUUUUAUAAAUAUGUAAAUUAUUCAAUUUUUAUAUAAUUAAGGAAAAUAAGUGAAAUAAGUUUGAAAUAAGAUAUAAAAAAAUUAUUGACUUCAAAUAUAUAUAUAUAUUUUUAUUUUCCUUUAUUUUUUCGUUCCUUUUAAUUUUCUUUUCUAUUUUCUCUCUCUCGUAUUUUCCCUCGUAUUUUUUGGAAACCAAACAUAGACUAAGCAUUUUUUUGUUAGGAAAGAAGACAUUUCAAUUAAAAACUCUUUUAUAGGAAUAAAUAAUGAAUCAAAGUUGCAUCAAACUUCAAGUUAGAAAAGUAUUUAGAGUUGAUUUGAUAGUGAUUUUAAGAAGCAUUUCUAUUUUUCUUUUAAACAUUAGAAAAACUAAAAACACUUCAUAAAAUCAUUACCAAACACACUCUUAAUCAUCCAUAUAACUUUUAAACUUGUUACAUCUAUAUUACAUUUUAAGUAUUAGUACUAAACAUACCUCUCCACGAGGUCCACUUGAAUAAUUAUAUUUUAGCACUAAAAUAGUUCGAUAAGUAAUUCGUCUGAGGACUAGAUCUAGUAGAAUGUUAGCAGUAAUACGUCUGAGUUGUUGGCCUGCUAUACCUCUCAAGCCAUCAUUACACCAAUUUUGAGUGGAAGAGGAUUUUAGUUGCAAUUGACUGAGGACUAGAUCCAGCAGAGUUUUCCUACGUGCCCCAUACGGGAAUUUAUUUUUGUAGUUUAGACCAUAAUGAACUGUCAGCAAAAAAUUAAAAAAAGAAUGAAGUAUUAGUGGAAAAGUAUGGAAUGGUGAUAAAACGCUCAUCCCUAAUUCUAACAUAAAAACCCUAAGUCGAAUUUAUUUCAUUUAUUUUUACUUGUCUAGAGAAUCAACAAUCUUUUUGGUACAUCCUUGCGUUAUUCUUAAGAGCAUUAUUUCAAGUUCUAUUUUUAAUUUUACUAUAUAUCUUCAUAGUAUGCUUUUAGGUUAUGUUUGGUUCCCGAAAAAUUAAGAAAAUGUUUUUAGAUUAUGUUUGGUUCCCAAAAAAAUUAAGAAAAAACAUUCCAUCAUUGUGUAUAAAAUAAUUAGAUUGCAUGGUGGAUGUUUUGGUAUAUUGUUGGUUUUUAUUUUUAACUAAUUGGGAAAUUUAAGUCCAUGGUAUUAGGUCUAGAAAAUGGCAAUUGCUGAAGUGAGAGAAGGUUCCGAAAUGGAAUAUAUAUAUAUAUAUAUGUAUUUAUGUAUUUAUGUAUGUAUAUAUUUAUUUGAAAUCAACAAAUGGGUUUAGAUGUGGAACCAUAAAUUCUAAAGAAGUUAUAAAUUUCAAAAGAGCUAUUGGUUUAAAUCAAUCUCACCAAUACUUAUAAUAGCAUCAAGAAGAGAGCCAAGCAAAGGUAGAAAAACCACACCAGUAAUUCUAGCACUAGCAACUUCCACCAGAAUUUCACUCCCAUCAUACAAAAGCAUGGCUGCAAACAACAUCAGGGACACAUACAUAAGGAUAAGGAAUAUGUUUCCAGUGCUCAAAAACAAUAAAAUCUGGUUGUUGAAUCUCUUCCAACUCCAUCAAAAACAAUAAAAACUACAUUUUAAUUCAUUUGGAAAUUUAAUUCAAUGUCUGACAAUCUGUCUCUUAUACUACAAUUUCUACUAUCUGAUGGUAAUGUACUAUCUCUCUUCAUUGAUUUGGGUUUAUAAAGAACACAUGUCAGCUUGAAGCUAAUAGAUUAUCAAUUUUUUUUUAUAUAGUAAAAAUUGCAAAUGCAUGAAAAUGAACCAUGAAGUAUAUGAAUAAUAUUUCUUUUUAUUAUUUUUAGAUUCUAAUGAGCUCCUAAUAUUAUUUUACUCAACAUUAAAAAAAAAAAUUAUAUUUAUAACAAAUAUACUUUUAUAAUUAAAAUGAUAAGCUACAGUUAAAAUUGAGAUGAGUCAAUUUUAACUACUAUCAACUCCUCUUAAUUAAUCAAAUUAAUUUAGUAAGAUACGAUUAAAUUGGGACCUUAAUGAGUCAAUUAAAAAAAUUGACUCAUUAUUUUAUGAGUAGUAUCUUACCAUUACCCUAUCUCUUCUGUGACAGGAUUUAAGAGUAUGAAGUAAAUGCUAUGCUGUCUUAAUUUGUCUGUUUGCUUUGUCAGCACAGUUUCUAUAAGGCAACAUAAAAAACCAUAAGGCUGAAUCUGCUGCUCAGGCCAGCGUAAGGGCCAGAUGGUUGAUACUAGUAUGAAAACCCUAUUUGAUCCAUAAAUCAGGAGUUGAGAAGUAUUCAUGCUCCAAAAUGUAUUUAUGCUCUCCCCCUUAAGCCACAAUUUUGUCUGAGCUACAGCAUAAUAAAGUUUGCAUGCUUGUAUAAAAAAUUUGUACAUUCAUAUGAUGCUUAUGAUGCAGGUUUUAUCAAUUAAACUAGAUGAAUGGACAGAUGAACAGGUUGAUACAUUGAUGGGUAUGGGUGAAAAUAAUGAGGUAAACAUGAAGUAUGAAGCCUCCAUUCCAGACUACAUCAGAAAACCAAGACCAGAUUCCUCUAUAGAGGAACACUCUGAUUUCAUUAAGUAUUACACUAUUAAUACACUUGGCAUAAAUUUCUAAAGGGAACUUAUACCAUGCUGAAUCAGAAACCCACUUCUUGAAUACUCAGGAGAAAAUAUGAGAUGCAACUAUUUUUCAACUCUGAUGUAUAGAUGUUCUGCCCCUUUCCACCUCAAGGUUUGUGUUCACCAUCCUCCUAAGGUGGUCCUCUUGGGUAAGAACUCCAUUAAUUGGUACACUCUCUCUCCCAACAUAUCUAUCCAUCUAUGUGUGCCCAGAAUAUCAAACAGGAAAAAAAAAAAAGAUCCUAACAUAGGGUACAAUAAAGUACAGUGGAAAAAUUCAGGGACCCAGACAAUAUCCAUCUAUUUUGUCAAGAGUAUCAAACAGAAAACAAGCUCAAAAUAUGCCACAAUAAAGUACAAUGGGAUUAUUUGAUUGUCCAGAUAUCCAAUAUAUUUGCUGGAAAUUCUCUUCAUCCUUCUCUGAUGAAGUUGGGAAAAUAGAUUUGAGUUUGAAUUUUCCAUUUCUAACAUGCCAGUUUGAAUUCAGUUUGUGGUAUGUUCGUUGGAUCAUCUUGUUGUGUAGGUUCAAAGUGAUCACCAUGAGGUUGUUGCAGACCUGGUGCAAACAAGUUUUCUUUUUUCUAUUCUCAUGGAUGGGCCUAUGUCCUUUUGUACUCCCCAUGUCUCUGUGCAGUGAGCUCUUCAAUUUGAGUUCUUUACUACGAAAAAGAAUGUGGACUUGACAAGGUGUGACUAAGUAUCUUCACAUAAGCUGUUUGUUUCUUUAUUAUCUGGUGAAUUAAUUUGCUAUAAGGGUUCUCAUGGUUCUUACUGUACACUUGACCAUCAUAAGAUUGUAUGCUAGUGGCUAGGAUGGAAUUAGAAAUAGGAUUUAUGGGGGCGGGGGGGUGGGUGGGUGGAUUUGAGGGGGCAAAAGUACAGAGAUUAGUUUUCGGGGGGCAGAUAUGAACCAGAAAGGGUAUUUGACUCACUGGUUGGUUUGUUUCUCUUUCAAAACUGAUAGGAUCAAUACCUUAUUUUGCAUGCUAAGUUUUUUAUUUUUGAGGGGGGCAUGUGCACUCUCUGAGCCAACCUGAAUCCACCGGUGCUAAUGGUAUGAAAUGUAAUGACUUGCUCAUAACCAUGUAAAUAUUUGGACCCAAAGGGGCCCUCAUGGCCUUAAAACGCAUCUACAAGGUUACGAGGAGUCCAUACUUAUAUAGUGCUAGGAACUUUCCCCUCUAUCCGAUGUGGGAUGUCACAAACACUCCCGAUGCAAAUCAAUGUCCUUGUUGUGUUCCACGGGAUUGUGGGGCCAAACAAACCCCACAUCGAGGUCAGGGAUCGACUUUGGUACCAUUUGUAACGACCCGCUCACAACCGUGUAGAUAUUGUCCGUUUUGGACCCAAAGGGGCCCUCACGGCUUUAAAACACAUCUAUAAGGUUAUGAGGAGUCCAUACUUAUAUAGCGCCAUCUAAUGUGGGAUGUCACAUGAAAAGAUACUAGUUUGGUCUUUUUUUUCUUCACAAAAAUAGUUAUUAAAAGUAGUAUUGAAGAAAAAGUGGUUUGAUUGAUCUAAAAUAUUGACCCUCCUCUGCAAAUGAAAAGGGGAGGGUUAUUUUGGUUCACUAUUGUUUUCUUCAUUAAGCUUUAAACAAGUUUGCUCACAGUAGAAGUGAUGCAAAUUUAAGGUAUGUUCUAUCAGAACACAUUAUUUCUUAUUGUUUUUUACCCUUCAAGAAGCUAUGAUCUAUCUAAUUUGUAUGAAAAAAAUAUGAUAUUUUUCUUUCAAGAAUUAUAAAUUUUAGCCAUUUUUCUUCAACUUUAAUUGGGUUUUUGAACUUGGGAAAAAAAAUUUUAAAAAUGGAAAAACGAAAAGAUAAGGUUAUUUGACAUUGGACUAAUAAAAUGUUUUCACAUAAUAUAUACUAAUUACAUGAUAGUGUAAUAUUGUAAUAUUGAAAUGAAGGACCCAAGUGGCAUGAACCCAUCUAAAGAGCUUUCACCUAGAAAUGGGGAACCAAAUUGGGACUAACAUUCAAACGGAAAGAAUUGGAGUCCAUGUAUAGAUACUCCAACUUAGCUUCCAUAAAUGUUGCUCAGAGAGAGUUCCACUUAAAUCAUUAAAAGAAACACCCAAGACUUACAAUUUAGAAAGUUGUUCAAUCCUAUUUGGGAGACUUCCACUCAAAUGAUUGAGAGAAACAUCCAAUUGUUGUAGUUGAGAAAGCUGUCCAAUACUAUUUGGAAGACUUCCACUCAAAUGAUUGAAAGAAACAUCCAAUUCUUGUAGUUGAGAAAGCUGUCCAAUACUAUUUGGGAGACUUCCACUCAAAUCAUUGGAAGAAACACCCAAUUGUUGAAGUUGAGAAAGUUGUUCAACACCAUCUAGGAGACUUCCACUCAAAUGAUUGAAAGAAACUUCCAAUUGUUGUAGUUGAGAGAGCUGUUCAAUACUAUCUGGGAGACGUCCACUCAAAUGAUUGGAAAAAACAUCCAAUAGUUGCAGUUGAGAAAGUUGUCCAAUACUAUCUGGGAGAUUUCCACUUAAAUGAUUGAAUGAAACCAACAAUUCUUUUAGUUGAGAAAGUUGUCCAAUACAAUCUGGGAGACUUCCAUUCAGCUCAUUCUCUACAAGAUUCAUAUACUCCAAGUGUUGCAAUGCCCCUAAAAAAGUAGGGAUGGGACCUUUGAAUUUGUUGUAAGAUAAAUGAAGUCCCUUAAGUUCUUUAAGCUCACCCAACCAGCAUGGGAAUUUUCCCAUCAAUUGAUUCUUGUCCAAGUAUACCUCCCUCAAAUUAGGCAAAGGACUUUUAGAAUUGUAGGUCUCAAUUCCUUUGAUAAUCUCAGGUAAACUUCCAUUCAAGUUAUUAAGACUCAAAUCUAGAUAUUUUAAAUUGCAAAAGUUUCCAAUGGAGCGUGGAAUUGAACCUGUCAUGACCAAGAGUAAAAAAUAUGUGUGAAUUAAAACUAUGUAACGAACUAAUAAUAAAAAUAGCAAAUAAAAAAACAAGUUAAUUCAUGGACAAUUAGUUUAAAGAAAAAGUUCAUGCAUUGGUGAAUAAAAAUACUGGGAAUGGUACUUUUUUCUUUUCCUAAUAACCAUAAAAUAAAGUAAUUUCUUUAGAUGUUGUAACAAUAGUAAGAUUAAUAAUUGAUAUUAAUUAUUUCUUUAACAAUAAACUAAAAUGAUUUGAACAAAGUGAUAGUUCAAGGAGAGAAGAUAGAAAAUAAAAAUAUAAACUAAAAGAAUAUUGUAAAGGAAAUUAUUAAAAAGAUUUUUUAAUGAUUAUAUGUUUUUCUGAACAAUUCUUUUAGUUCAAGUGGGUCUUCUAUUUAUUUACAAACUCCAAUAAAACAUGAAUAAAAAAAAUAUAGUUGUUAAUUGUAUGAUAUUUCGAAACAAUAACUCUAAAAGAAACCAGGAAAAAAAAGAAGAAAAAAGAGAAUUUUCUAAUAAAUUAAAAUCAAUAAAAUGACAAAGCAACAUAAUUUAUAGUCUAAAUCAAAUGUACAGGGAAUAUACCAUAAAAUCAAGUACCUUAUAUGAAUUAAUGAGUGAGGAUGUUCUUAAAUGAAUUAUCACUCAAAUCUAAAUAUUUUGAAGACACUAAUUUUAUCAACAAAGGUCUAAUCUAAUCAGUCAAGUUUAUAAGAGACAAUCUAUUAAAGUAAAAAUUCUAAUGACAAUAAGUGUUCCCUCUUUAGGUAUAAUUAAUUUGUGAAUGUAGGCUUUAGGGAAAACCUCAUAAAUCGUGUUUUAUGUGUUUUAUGUGUUUUUUGUUUUUGUUUUCUUAUUUUUCUUAUUAUUUUUUAUUGUGGUUUUAAUUUACAACUUAUUUUAUUUCUUUUGAAAAUUUUCUCAAAUUAGGAAACAAAAUCAACUUUAUAGCAAAUCGAAAAGGAAAAAUGAAGGCUUGAAUGACUAUAUGCUUCCAACUUGUUUACUAUAAGUUAUAUAUUUAAUUUUAUAACUUAUUUUAUUUAUUUUCAAAAUUUUCUCAAAUUAGGAAACAAAAUCAACUUUAUAGCAAAUCGAAAAGGAAAAAUGAUGGCUUGAAUGACUAUAUGCUUCCAACUUGUUUACUAUAAGUUAUAUAUUUAAUUUUAUAAAAUUAAAAUAAAGAAAUUAUGAAGCUAUUAACAAUUACUUACCCAAAUUACCUUAUAUCUAAAUGUAAAAUUCAAUUGGUUGGAAAUUAAGUAAUCUAAAGCAAUUGAUUCAUUGAAGCACAACUAAAUCAUAUAUACUUCGUAAAAGCACCAAAUGGAUUAGGCAAUUUUAAAAUUUGUCUAACAAUUCUAUGUGAGGAAAUGAAUUUCUAGUGUAAAAUUCUUUUUACCAAAAAAAUAUAUUUUCAAUAAAAAUGAAAAUAUAUAAAAUAUCUAUUAUUUACAAAUACUUAUCAAAGUCUUGCAAAAUUUAAAAUGCAAUUGACACUUUCAAAUAUUUCUUAAAAUAAAGGGAAAAAAAAGCUUAGAACUAUUAUUACAAAAAUACAAUUUUUAAGAAAUUUCAUAUAUUAUGGAGUGGUUUGCUAAAAUUUGUUGACAUGAACUGAAAUUUUAGUUUCUGUGUCCUUAUUUUUGUAUUUUUUUUUUUUAGGCAUAGGCAAUUACAGGGCCCCUAAUCUAGAUGACCCAAACAUAAAGUCAAAGUCAAGCUAAUGCAAAAUUUUCUUGAUAAGGUAGCAAGACAUGGCAAAAACUUGAGGAAAAAUGGCCACCUUGGUAGACAAGCAUAAACCUUGAAUAAAUAAAUGAGGAAAAUAAUACCCUUAAAUUUCCCUUGACAUGACAUGACAUGGCAAAAAUGGCUUUAAAAAGUGGCCACAAUCUUUGGAAUAUUUUGGGGUGGUAUGCUAAAAUUGUGGAUACGCUAUUGAUUAUUUUUUUCCUUAAUUGUCUCUAAGAUUGUGAAAUAUUACUUAUAUACUUAUUGAUAGGGCAACAUGAAGACUGUGAUAUUUUGAGGAAGGCUUUUCCACAACUCAAUUCAUAGAGGUAAUGACUUUAUCAUCUAUAUGUGCAUAUUAUUUCUUGUGUGUGACAUAUAGUAGCAAAGUCAUGCUCAAAGGGACAAUGAGACAUAAUGCAAAGUUAAAGUUUGAAUCAACAUAAUAGACUAAGUCUCUCUCAUUAAAAAAAAAUUACAAGAUUGUAGAUUAAGAUGGUGUUUUUUUUCUUAUUUUUUUUCUACUUAAAUUCAAAUAGAACUUAAUUUUUUUUCUCACUUAGCUAUAAUUAUUCAACUAUAAAUUCAGAUAGAAAAUUUUGUUAACUAAUACGUACAACUAAUUUGAAGGUAAUUAAUUAAUGGAAAGAAUAUCACUAAUUGAUGAUAAAGUUCAAAUAAAGGUAAUUGUUAAAGCUCAAGCUCUAUUUAAGUAGUUGAUACGAUUAAAAAUGGUUCCUUUAAUGAAUGAGAAGAUGGUUCUUGACUUCAUAAUUAGACUAGUCAAUUCAUAUUUUAUUAUUUUAUAUACAUCCUUGGAUUGAAGUGAGGAGUACGUUUUGUUUUCUACAAGAGGACAAAAGGAGACAACUUCAAAAAUAAUGUUUUAAGUGAAGACAACAACAUGUUUUUGGACCUUGAAUUUUUAAUUUAUAUAUCUCUAUUUUUUUUUAGCCACAUACAAUUGAAAAGGCUUGAAUGUUGAUGAUCUAAACAUAAAGUUAAAGUCAAUCCAACGAAAAUUUUUGCUAAUAAGGUAUUAAAAUGAUACAACAAAAAUAUAUUAAAAUGAUUGAAGAAAAAGUUGUCAUCGUGAUAGAAAUUAACAGCAUAAAAUUACAUGACAUACACCAGUUGCACAAUUUUUGGACACUUACAACUAUCAAAAGUUGACAUGAUUGGAUUAGGUGAUUAUAACUAUUUUCCUUUCAGUCAUAUAGACUUAAUAAUAAACUCAUAUUAGAAAAUUUUAAACUUUUAAUAUCAUUAUAAAACAUGCUCUAAGUAAUUACAGUAAUGAUUUUAGCUUAUAAACUAGAAAUCAAAUUUCAUAUUCCUCUAAAGAAUUCCUAUAAUUUAAAAUAUGUCAAAUUCAAUUAUGAAAGCAACUAAGGAAAGAUUGCUAUAUGAAUAUUCUAAGAAAAUUUUUAAUUUCUUAAUUAAUUUCAUAAAACUAAACUACAGAAGAAUUGAGUUUUUCAAAGCAAUAAUUUGGUCUUUCCUUUCCUUUUAUUUUAAAUGGUAAGAGAGAGAAAUAUUUACAAACUUGUUGAAGUUAUUGGAAGUCCAAUUUUAUAUAUAUUUUAAAAUAAUUUCAAAAAUCAUUGUUAGGGAUGUAGUAAGGCUUUUAAUAUGAUUUAUUAUUGUGGAUUUUUUUCAAGAGUGAUAUAGAUGAUUUAAAGGGUAUUAUAUAGUUAGUGUGUUAUUGAUGAAUAAGUAUGAGACUAGUCAUUUGAAUUGAUGAUAUAUUUAUUAUAUUUAAAAUUAUAUUAUAUAUUAUUUAUCACCAAGUAUCAUUCUUCUAACCACUUAAAUAACUCAUUAUACAAGAGAGUGACAACAUGUUUCUCUUUUAAAUUAGAAGAAAAUGUUCUAUCACUAGAGAAUUUUUCCUCAAAGCAUAAUGUUAUGUAGAAUAAAAUAUAACAUCUCAUAAAUAUUUUUUUUUUUCUUAAGAAACUUACAUAGAUUUUGUUAGAUUGCUUAGUUAGUAAAUACACUCAUCUAAAAAGUUACAAGUUCUAUAAUUGCUUUAACAAUUUUUUUUUUCCCUAAAGCAUUGAGGUUUUGAAAAUUUUUUUUUUUAGUUUAACAUUUAUAAGUGUGCAAAGGAUAUUAUAGAAGUCUUGGUACACAUUAUUGUGAAAAUUAUCUCUUUCCCAAAUGAUAGCGAAAAGAGAAUACUAGGCAAGAACUAAGAAUAUUUUCUUAUAUUUAUAAUAUUACAACUUCUUGAAUGAAGGCAUAAAUUUCCACGGAUGAUGGUAUGGAUGUGGAAUUCAAUGAAAGGAAAUGUGGAAAAUUCUUCAUUGUAAUAAAAUUUUUACUUUCCUAUAUAAGCAAGUUAUGCUUGGUCCAUGAAAAUUCAAUAAAAUGAUAUCUAGUCCUUGUCGGUGGACUUGGUCUAUUGGAUUUAGAAGAAAAAAAAUCUUUUAAUAUAUAUAUAUAUAGACUCAAUUUAUUUAGUUAUAUUUAUUUUGAGGAAAUUUAAUAUUUGUAGAGUUUCUAUUUGGGUAAAUUACCCUUUUAAGUUUGAUCAGGAUUAAAACUUUAUAGAUAUAUGGUUUUAUAUAUGAUUUUAAGAUAGAAGGAAAAAAUGAGCAAAGAAUGAAUAGAGAUAGUCAAAAGGUGUAUGAGUUUUGGGUAAAGAAAGGUAUGUUGAGAGAGUUUGAAGUGUGUAAAGUUUAUUAAUAAAUUAAUAUGAUCUUUCUUUCUCAUAGAUGUAGGCGAUUAUCUCAAACUAAGUAAAUAUUUUAUCUUUUUUCUUAUUUCACUUUCUUUCUUCUUAUUGUAUUUAGGUGUUUCAAUUUUCCCAACAAAUACUUGUUCUAUCAUCAUAUCUCUAUCUACCACGUAUAGUCCUCACCACCUUAUAUAAAAUAUUUCAUAAAUACAUAUAAUGUGAUUAUAAUUAGAUUCUUUAUAUAGAAUAAAAAAAACUAGUAGUAAUAUCUCUACAAAUAUUAUGUGACUCACAUAAUUAGAUAAUUAGUUCCUUAUAUUAAAUAUUCCAAUCAAGAAAAUAUGAGAAGUCAUUUUAGCAAAUAAGAAAGAAUCAUUUUUCUCGGUAUAAUUAAUUUAGACUUUAGGAUUUAAGAGUUAUAGGACUAUAAUCUUCUUAAACAAUACUAGAAGUUCUUUUUUAUCUUCAUUUGUGAAUGUAAGUUUUAUGGCAAACUGCAUAAAUCGCAUUUGAUGUGUUUUUUGUUAUUUAUUUAUUUAUUAUUUAUUUUUAUUUUUCAUUGUGGUUUUAAGUUUUAACUUUUUUAUUGUCUUCAUUGUGGUCUUCUCCAACAAGUGUCUCUCACUCUUCAUCAUAUCUCUAUCUACCACGUAUAGUCCUUACCACCUUAUAUAAAAUAUUUCAUAAAUAUAUAUAAUAUGAUUAUAAUUAGAUUCUUUAUAUAGAAUAAGGAAAACUGGUAGUAAUAUCUCCACAAAUAUUUUGUGUCUCAAAUAAUUACAUAAUUAGUUCCUUAUAUUAAAUAUUCCAAUCAAGAAAAUAUGAGAAGUUAUUUUAUCAAAUAAGAAAGAAUCAUUUUUCUUGGUAUAAUUAAUUUAGACUUUAGGAUUUAAGAGUUAUAGGAUUAUAAUAUUCUUAAACAAUAGUGGAAGUUCUUUUUUAUCUUCAAUUUGUGAAUGUAAGCUUUAUGGAAAACUGCAUAAAUCGUGUUUUAUACGUUUUCUGUUUUUUUUUUAAAAUCAGAAUUGUUGAUGUGUUAUUGAUUAUUUUAUUAUUUUCUUUAUUAUUUUCCUUAUUAUUAUUAUUAUUAAGUUAAAAGACAAACAUCACCUAAAUAUUUUUUUUGGAAUUUUUUUUUUAAAAAGAUAGUUGCAAAUUCAUCUUUUUACUUAUUUUCCUUAUUAUUAUUAUUAUUAUUAUUAUUAUUAUUAUUAUUAUUAUUAUUAUUAUUAUUAUUAAGUUAAAAGACAAACAUCACCUAAAUAUUUUUUCUUGGAAUUUUUUUUUUUAAAAAAGAUAGUUGCAAAUUCAUCUUUUUACUUCAUAUACACAAUUUGAUCAUAUUCAAAUAGUAGUAAUUGGUAAGCCCAAAAUAGUUUGAAAAGGUCACUUGAAUUGGUAAGCAAUUGAAUUGAUUCAAGUGGUUGGUCUAGUCCAUUUUUCAAAAUAUUGCUAAAAAGAAAGGAUAGGAGCCUAUCACUAUCAUCCACAUGGUUUCUAGUUGAAUUAUCUUCUAUAUAUGUCUCUGCAUCCAAAGGAAUGACUAAAUCAAAAUAAGAAAAAAAAAAAAAAGGAAGAUAAUUGGUAAGAUCCUAUUCCACUAAUAAUGCCAAGUUUUUUUUAUAGUAUUUCUCUCUAUCCAAUGCUUCAAGUUUUUUUGUAGGAGAUUUCUAUAGUUGGAAUGUUUUGAUCAUUAGCAAUCAUCAAAGCAUAAUUGAUAUUUGUUGAGAUGAUUUCAAUUAUAUUUUCUUUAACAUGUAUUCAAGUAUGUUGUUUACUUGGCAAUUUUUAAUCUUUCGAAACAAAUGAGUGGUUAAGUUAAAGGUGUUAUUAAUUGUCUGAUGUCUUGAUUCCAUUACUAAUUGAAUUUUAUCACUAUUUUUAUUGUUGUGUUGGAACUUAAUUUUACUUGUUUUUGCAUGUGUUCCUAGAUGGAGAAAAUUUUAAUUCUCGAUUUCCUUUUUAUCAUUCUAUGUUCAAUAAUAAGAGAACUUGCUUGUAAAGGUGAGACUAAUUUGGGAAAUUGCUUAAAAAUUGAUAGAGAUGCUCUUACUCACUUCAAAAAUGGUCUCAAAAGUACUAACAAUUGGCUUUCAUCAUGGAGAGGGCUUGAUCGUUGUCAAUGGGAAGGAAUUGAUUAUGAAAAUAAAACAAGAGCUAUUAUUUCAAUUGAUCUUCUUAAGCCAUAUUCUCCCAAGGAAGCAUAUGAGAAUGGGACCUCUAUGAACUUGUGUGGAGAGAUUGGAUCUUCAUUAAUAGAACUCAAAUCCUUGAGAUAUUCAGAUUUGAGUGACAACACAUUUUAACAUAUUUCAAUUCUUGAAUUUUUUGUAUCUUUAAGAAUUUACAAUAUCAAAACCUAUCAAAUUGUGGGUUCAGUGGUGCAAUUCCUCCUAGUCUAGGAAACCUCUCUAAUUUGAAAUUUCUUGAUCUUUCCAGCCAUCAAUAUUUUGAUUUAUUUUUUAAUUCUGAAUCCUAUGAUUUAUAUGUCAAUGAUCUCAAAUGGAUCACUAGUCUUGUUUUACUUUACCAACAAUGCCAAGUUGUCUCUAGUGUUCUCCUCUACCUAAUGCUUCUAAGCUUCUCUUGUGGGUGAUUUCUAUUGUUUUGAUAAGCAAAAAUCAUCAAACCAUAUUUGAUAUGGAUAUGUGUUCAAGUAUGCCAUCCACUUGACAUGUUUUAAUCUUAUUAAACUUAUGAUUGAUUAAAAUAAAUGUGUUAUUUAAUAUCCAAUAACUCGAUGUUUUGAUUACUUAUCAAAUUUCAUCACUAUUUUGAUUCUUUUGUUGAAACUUAAUAUUAAUUACUUGUUUUUAUAGGUGUUCUCAGAUGGAGAAAAUUUCGAUUCCUGGUUUUCUUUUGGUCAUUCUAUGUUUAAUAACAAGAAAUCUUGCUUAUAAGGGUGAAACCCUUGAGGGAAAUUGCUUAAGAACUGAUCGAGAAGCUCUUCUUGAAUUCAAAAAUGGUCUCAAAGAUUCUUCUAACAAUCGACUUUCAUCAUGGAUAUGAGGCAAUUGUUGUCAAUGGGAAGGAAUUGGUUGUGAAAACAACACAGGAGUUGUUAUUUCAAUCAAUCUUCAUAACCCAUUGCCAUGUGUAGCAAUUUUAAUUUAUUUAUUUCAGAUAUUUUGGUUUAUUGAGUUAGUUCAAAUAACUAGUAGUAGUGGGCUAGAGAGUCGGUAAUGUGAGCUAUUUUUUAGUAAUUGUUGCUGUUUAAUCUCUAAGUUGUUGAGUCUAUUAAAUUAUAAAUUUCCUCAUUCUUGUAAAAUGAUCAGAUGAAAAACUUCCAAAAACUUGUCUUUGUUUUCUGCUUUCCAAAUUCUUUCAAUUCUGCUCAUAUUUUGCCUUAGCAACAUAGCUCGAGGGUGAGGUAGGGGGCCAGGGAGGGGACGAGAUCGUGCCAUUAACUUCGAAUGUGACAGAGUGGUAUCAGAGCCAGUUAUGGCUGACGAUCAAUGACUCCAAAGGCUUGAAAAUUAGGUUGAGAACCUAAGUUCAGGUCAAGAAAGGCUCCUUAAGUAGAUGGAAGAACUGGUGGGGGUAAUGAACUCCCGAUUAGACUUGCAGGAAGAAGGGUCCGUCAAUAGGAAUCGAGGACCACAUGGACAGGGUGGUGUUAGGUACGCAGGUGGACUAGUGGUUCCUAAGUUUGCAAAGCUUGAUUUUCCUCGCUAUGAUGGCUCAAAAGAUCCAACUUUAUGGAUUUGUCGCACAGAACAAUUCUUUGAAUUUCAAAGGACAUCAUUGGAAGAAUCAAGUCAAAUUACCAGCCUACCACUUGGAAAAAGAUGCUCAAUUGUGGUACCAGUGAUGCAAAAAUCAAGGUCACUUGGUUACUUGGGAUGGAAUGAAGGUGGGAUUGCUAGAGAGGUUUGCUGUAACUUAAUAUGAAGAUUUCUUUGGAGACUUAUGCAAGCUUAGGCAAAUGGGAAUUGUUUCAGACUAUCAAACUCAGUUUGAAAGGCUUUUAGCACGGGCCGACACUUUGAUAGAUAAACAAGAAGUUGAGUGUUUUAGUAAUGGAUUGAAGGAUGGGCUAAGGGCGGAUGUAAGAAUCCAAAACCCUCAAAAUCUGUCUUCUGCAGUUGGGUUAGCACGAUGAACUCAAAGCCUAGGAAGUGAGGCGCCCAACCAACCCAACAUUCUCUUCUUCAGUUCGCAACCCCAACAACCAAUGGAACACCUCAACCCCUAGUGGUGCAAAAGGCACCAAUCUAGAGAGAAUUUUACUAAUCCGUAAAUUAUCUCCAAUCGAACUCCAAAUGCGGUGACAACAAGGGUUGUGCUACAAUUGUGAUGAAAAGUAUACAAUGGGUCAUAAAUGCAAGAAAUUGUUCUUCAUUGAACUAGAAGAAGAGAAUGAAGAAGCCAUAGAAGAAGAGUAUGAAGAAGAGACACCAACUAUCUUUUACAUGCCUUGGCUAGGGUUCAAUCUCCACAAACUAUAUGGAUCCACUCAUAGAUUGGUAAGACUCCACUGACUAUUUUAAUUGAUUCUGGUUCCACUCAUAAUUUUUUGCAUCACAAAUUUGCCAAAAUCAUCGGACUUAAGUCGGAAAGGAGCUGCUUGUUUAGCGUGGUGGUUGCCAAUGGGGAGAGGUUGUUAAGUCCUGGGCGUUGUAAUGGAGUAAAAUUGCCCUUGUAAGGCAUCCCAAUUGAGGUAGAUUUUUUCUUACUUCCUAUAGAAGGUUGUGAUGUUGUUCUAGGAGUACAGUGGUUGGGUACUCUUGGUCCAAUUUUAUGGGAUUUUGGAAGGAUGCAAAUGCAAUUCAUUAUAGCUAGGCGAAAGGUGUUGCUACAAGGUUCAACCUCCUCAAAACUUCGGGCUCUUGAAGGUGAUACUGUUUCUAGAACAUUGAGGCAAAGUGAUGGUAGGGGAAUUAUUUUACAGCUUUGUACAAUCCAGCAUGAGCAUACAAAUCAUGAGGAGUUACUAUCAGAUGCAAUGGCUCCUUUGCUCAUUGAGUUCAACGAAUUGUUUGGAGCACCUACGGGAUUACCACCUCCACACUUUCAUGACCACAGGAUUCCCCUCCAGCUAGGAGUAGGUCCAAUUUGUGUACGUCCUUAUCAAUACCCGCAUUUCCAGAAACAAGAGAUUGAGUUCUUGGUGGAGGAGAUGCUAUCACAAGGUAUAAUUUAGCCUAGCCAAAGCCCAUUUUCCUCUUCGGUACUUUUGGUGCGAAAACAUGAUGGGAGUUGGAUGUUUUGUGUGGACUAUCGAGCACUAAACCGGGUGACAGUCAAAGAUAAGUUUUCAAUUCCAGUUAUAGAUGAAUUGUUGGAUGAGCUACAUGGUGCCAAAUUCUUCACCAAAUUGGAUCUCAGAUCUGGGUAUUUUCAAAUACGAAUGGAUCCUCUUGAUGUACAUAAAACAGCCUUCCGAACUCACCAUGGGCACUUUGAAUUUCUGGUAAUGCCUUUCGGCCUCUCUAACUCCCCAUCUACAUUUCAAUCACUCAUGAAUGAGAUUUUCAAGGCUCAUCUAAGAAAAUUCAUUUUGGUAUUCUUUGAUGACAUUCUAAUUUAUAGUAGCACAUGGGUUGAACAUCUGAAACAUGUUAGAAUUGCAUUUUCCAUUUUGCGAGCUCAUCAUGUUGCAGUCAAGAAAGAAAAAUGUCAGUUCGGGCAAACGUAAAUCAAAUAUUUGGGGCAUAUCAUUUGCCAAAAUGGUGUGAAGGUGGAUCCAGAAAAAAUAAAGGCAAUGAUGGAAUGGCCAAAACCAGGAACUAUCAAAGCUUUGAGGGGUUUUUUUAGAACUAAUGGGUUGUUAUCGGAAGUUUAUUGCAGGUUAUGGCAAAAUUGCAGCUCCUUUGACUGACAUGUUGCAAAAAAAAUGCUUUUUCUUGGUCUCAAAAGGUGGAAGAAGCAUUUGAAUUAUUGAAACAAACCAUGAUGCAGGCUCCAGUUUUAGCCUUGCCAAAUUUCCAGCUCUUAUUUGUGGUGGAAUGUGAUGCAUCAGGGAAUGGAUUAGGAGUUGUCCUAAUGCAAGAACAAAGAUCUAUUGCUUAUUUCAGCACUGUCUUGAAGAGAAAACGCCUUUUGUUGUCCACUUAUGAAAAUGAACUUAUGACACUUGUUCUUGCGGUAAAAAAAUUGCGACCUUAAUUGCUUGGGUGUCAUUUUAUGGUCUGAACUGACCAACGCAACCUUAAAUUUCUUUGGGAGCAAUGAAUAAUGAUAGAAUCGCAACAAAAAUGGCUGCUCAAAUUAAUGGGUUAUGACUUCUCCAUCGAAUUCAAGAAGGGUAAGAACAAUAUGGCAACAAAUGCUUUAUCAAGAAAGGACACACAAGGGGAAUUCAAUGCAGUCUCUAGUCUCUUACCCCAACGGUUGGAAUCCAUCAAGGUUGAGAAUCAAUCACACCAGGAGCUGCAACGAAUUCAUCAGUUGCAUAAGCAAGGAAAGGCUAUUGGACCAUGGGAAAAUCGAAAUGGUGUAAUAUUCUUUAAGGAGCGUAUCCAUCAUCCAUCAAACUCAGAACUCAUCCCAAUCAUUCUCCAAGAAAUUCAUGGCAUUGGGCAUGAAGGUCUUUACAAAACUCUUCAUCGAGUGAAUGAGGUAUUCUAUUGGAGGCAAAUGAAGAAGGUUGUACUUGAUUACAUCAAGCAAUGUGAUUUUUGUCAACGCUAUAAGAUAGAUCACCAAAAGCCAUCAGGUCUUCUCCAACCAUUGCCUAUUCCUACACAGGUAUGGACAGACAUCUCUAUGGAUUUUAUUGAUAGCCUACUCCCUUCUAAGGGGAAAACAGUACUCCUUGUGGUAGUGGAUCGGCUAUUCAAAUAUGCACAUUUUAUUCCAAUGUCUCACCCUUACACUGCACCAAAGGUGGCUCAAACAUUCUUUGAAAAUGUGUCUAAACUCCAUGGCAUGCCAAGUUCAAUAGUAUGUGAUCGGGACUCCACUUUUAUAAGUGCUUUUUGGAAAGAGCUUUUCAAAUUGUAGGGCAGUAGCUUCAAUUUCAGCUCAUCUUACCACCCCUAAACAGAUGGCCAAACUGAAGCAGUGAAUCGGACUCUUGAGAUGUACCUACAUUGCUUUACUAGUUCAAGACCAAAGGAGUGGGUUUAAUGGGUUCCUUGGGCUGAAUUCUGUUACAACACCAGUUUACAUGCUUCUACUCACAAAACUCCCUUCGAAGUGGUGUAUGGAAGAGAGCCCCCCAACUUGCUUUCCUAUGUUCAUGGUACAUCAAAAGUUGAAGUUGUAGAUAACAUGCUCCAAGCAAAAGAUAAAGUUGUAAAAGACCUAAGAUGUCAGCUCCAACAAGCACAAGCUAGAAUGAAGACUGCUUAUGACCAAGGGCGAGUUGAGAGAGAAUUCGUUGUUGGUGAUUGGUUAUAUUUGCGGCUACAACCUUAUUGGAAAACUUCAUUGGCUUUAAGAAGUCACAUAAACUGUCCCUGCGAUUUUAUGGGCCAUAUCGUGUGCUAGAACGAAUUGGUUCAGUGGCUUAUCGACUUGAUCUCCCGCCAGGAAGUAAGAUUCAUCUAGUUUUCCAUGUGUCAAUCCUUAAAAAACAGCUUGGUACAACUGAUAAAAUUGAUUAUCCUCUUCCAUUAGUACUAGAAACAUCAGGUCACUUGCAACCUUAGCCUAUAGCAGUUCUAAAUUUUUGCAACAACGGGUGUAAACGUGAACUAUUUAUUCACUGGCAGAGGCUCCCGACAACAGAUGCUACUUGGGAGGAUAAGAACCAACUUCGAAACAAAUUUCCAGACUUUGUGUGUCCUUGAGGACAAGGACGAUUCCAAGAGGGAGGAAAUGUCAUGUGCAACAAUUUUAAUUUGUUUAUUUCAGAUAUCUUGGUUUAUUGAGUUAGUUCAAAUAACUAGCAGUAGUGGGCUAGAGAGUGGGUCACGUGAGCUAUUUUUUAGUAAUUGUUGCUGUUUAAUCUUUAAGUUGUUGAGUCUAUUAAAUUAUAAAUUUCCUCAUUUUUGAGCAAUAAAACGAUCAAAUGAAAAACUUCCAAAAACUUGUCUUUGUUUUUUGCUUUCCAAAUUCUUUCAAUUCUGCUCAUAUUUUGCCUUAGCAACAUAGCUUGAGGGCAAGGUAGGGGGCGAGGAAGGGGAUAGGAUUGAGCCAUUAACUUAGAACGUGACACCUAUAUUCUCCUAAAGAAGCAUAUGAGAAUUGGAGCUCAAUGAACUUAAGCGGGGAGAUUCGACCUUCUUUGAUAGAACUCAAAUAUUUGAUAUAUUUAAAUUUGAGUGGCAACUCAUUUGAACAUAUCUCAAUUCCUAAAUUCUUUGGAUCGUUGAAAAAUUUACAAUAUCUAAACUUAUCAAAUUGUGGAUUAUGGGGUGCAAUUCCUCCAACCUUGGGAAACCUUUCUAAUUUGCAAUUUCUUGAUCUUUCUUCUCAUGAAUUUCAAUUAUUUGUUAAGGACCUUGAAUGGAUGACUAGUCUUGUUUCCUUAAGGCAUCUCAAGAUGAAUUAUGUCAACCUUUCAAUGGUAGGAUCUCACUGGGUGGAGGCAUUAAAUAAGCUUCCAUUUUUUACAGAGUUGCAUCUACAACAGUGUGGGCUCUCUAGUCCAAUUUCAUUUCUAAGCUCUAUCAAUUUCUCUUCACUGUUGGUCAUAAGCAUUGGUUACAAUUCUUUCCGGUCAAAGUUCCCAAUAUGGCUUAUAAACCUUAGCAGCCUUGUAUACAUUGAUGUAAGUUCUAAUAAGUUAUAUGGGCAUAUUUCACCUGGCCUUGGGGAACUACCUAACUUGCAGCACUUCGAUCUAUCUUGGAAGAAAAAUCUCAUAGGUAGUUGCUCUCAACUGUUAAGCGGAAGCUGGAAGAAGAUAGAAUUUCUGAAUUUGGCAUCCAAUAACUUUCUUGGUAUGUUUUUGGCUUAGAAAAAUUAUUAUUGCUUAUUGAUUUUGAUACAUCAAAAUAAUGUAGUGGUUCUGCAGUCUAACACUUGUUUUUAAAAAAUAUUUGGCAUUAACUUAUUCUGAUUUUCCAAUAAUCUCUUUCACUUUUACAUUAAACCAUCAAAGUAAAUUCAAUUAUCUUCUCACUAUUCAUUAAAUUAUUUUCUCAUAAACUCUUUUUUUUUAUUUUUUUGAAAAUUAUUUUAAAUUAUAUUAUUUUAACUCUUGAUGGUGCAUGAUUUGUCAUAAAUCCAUUGCACAAUUGACUAACAAAGGGGAAUUUUUAGGGCUUUUUGGCUCAUCUUCUCCUCCAUGGCUUUUGAUGGAUUUGAAAGAUUACACUACAAGAUCUAGGUUUUGGUUGUAAACAAUUUUUAAAAUAGUUUUCUAAAUCAUUUUUUGAGUUUUUUUAUAAUGGUUUUACAAAAAUUAUAAUGUAUUUUGUUUCUUGUGAACAUUUUAAAAAUAAUUUUUCAAAGUCAAAUUUUGAGUUUUUUUUAUAAUAAUUUUUACAAAUAUUAUAUUAUAUUUUGAAACAAAAUUUUGCUUGGAAACUUUAAUUUCUGAAAACAAUAUUAUCAAUUUAUUCCAUGUAGACACUUAUUUCUAAAAAUAGUUUAAAUUAUCUUUUCACCACUCAUUUGAUGAUGCAUUAAGAAGGCAAAGUUUCUUACCUUUCUCAUGAACUUUCUUAUGUUUCAUAAAAAUAAAUAAAUAAAUAAAUAAAUCAAAUUAUUUUAAUACUCUUGAUGAUGAUUGCAUGUACAAUUCCAAACUCCAUAAGAAAUUUUUGCAACUUAAAACAUUUGGAUUUAGCUUCCAAUACCUUGACAAGAACUUUCCCUGAAUUUGUCAAAGAUAUCAAAAACUGCAGUUCUGAAGAUCCUUUACUAGAACUGAGCUAUUUGGACUUGUCCGAGAAGCAAUUAGUGGGUGGAUUGCCAAAACGGUUGAAUCAGAUGGAAAAACUAAUGCAUCUCGAUCUGUACAACAACAAGCUUCAAGGUCCUAUCCUUGCUUCUUUUGGGACAUUCAAAAAUCUGAAUGAAAUGUGGCUUGGAUUGAAUGAACUGAAUGGGAGUCUCCCAGUUAGUUUUGGACAACUUUUUGAAUUUGUUCUCUUAGAUGUUUUUGGGAAUCACUUGACUAAAAUUCUUUCUGAAGAACAUUUUUCAAAGUUAGGUAAGCUAAAGAUAUUGUGGAUGGAAGUAUAGAAUUUUAUUCAUACUGAAUAAAUUAGGCAUUAGUGGGGCCCAACUUCUAUGAUUGAUUGCUUGAUUGACUUUGCCCUACUUUGACAUGCAUGUUAUUAUUCUGUAUCUGUGCACUAACCUUGUCUCUCAUGAUAGCACUCAGCUUGUGACUAAGGUAUGCCUAGUACUUGAUCAUAUUUAUUUAUUUAUCCGUUAUCAUGCAUGACUUAUUUUAUUAUUUGAUCAUUGUUUGGUAUCCACGAUUUUCUGAUCAAUUGUCAUACUUGACUUAGCUAAUUAAUAGAGACCUAAUUUUUAGGGGCUUAGAAAGGUGAUACAAUCUAUCACCGUACCUUCCCAAUAGGUAACUUGACCCCUGAACCCAAACUCGAUUUUUUGCAGACUUAUUUUUCCUUUAGGAGUCACAUUUAAGGUUUUUCUUUCUUAUUUAUUUUUUUCCCUUUAAAAAUAAAACAAAAAUAAGUGGCAACUUUAAAAACUUUUCAAAAAUCAUUUUUUCUAAUAAAAAGCGAGUCUCGCCAGAGUAGGGAAUGCAUGCGAGAAAUGCAGGGUCCACAAAAUGGCAACUCCACUAGGGAACACUAGAGGGUUAAGCUUAAACUUAAAUUAAGGCAAAUAUGGCGUUUGAUUGGUUGAUUAGUGGGUACCCUUCUUUCUUUGUGCUUUUGUAUGAUUGAGUAUUGAUAGCACAUUAAGAUUUCUUGAUAUGUUUAUCUAGGAUGCAUGUUUGCCUAUUGUGUUCAUUUGAGGCAUGGACAUACUGAUUAUAUUGAUCGAUCCUUUUAUUUGUCCUCACAUAGUGACUCUUUUUACUGUAUGAUUACUUUGCUCACCUUGACAUGUACAUUCUUGUAGUUGUUUAUCUCGUUCAUCCUGACAUGUUUGAUUCUCUUGGUUGUAUAUUAUCAUGAUUAUCAUGGAGCAUGCUAUCCUUGAUAGAUAUUAAUCUCAAUUAUCCUAUUUCCUGCUUAGCUUGUGUGUAAAUUUGGAUGAUAUAUACCUGCUUUGCAUGACUGCAUGGUGCAUGAUUACUUUCCUUUUACAUGAUGCAUGUAUUGCUUGUCUGUGUGGGUCUCACACCUAUCCCCUUAUUUCCAAUUCUCUAGUCUCAGUCAAACUUGUUUUCCUUGAUCUCAUAUUUCAUAUGAAACUUGUUGCCUUGUUUGUUCUCCAACUGAGCUAGUGAUUUGGAGUAAGGUCUAGCAAUGGGCUAUAUAUAUGUUUGGGAGCAUUCUGGAGGUGGUUGACAUAUUGAUGUUGAUUGGAGUUUGACCUUUGAAGACUUGUAUAGCCCAAAGCUAGAUUUCAAGAUAUUUGUGUGGCUAGUGUGUUUUCUUCUUAGUUUGAUAGGAUUUUCAGAUGCACCCACACCAUUCAUUGUACAUUCUAGAUCACCAUUGAGUGUUGAGAGA